GCUGGCCUCUCGCGAGGCAUGUGCACGCCUGGCUCAUCCACUCUUCAACCUCUGUGCACUUUUUGUAGGUCGGCGGAAGGGUAAAAGUCUCUUAACCGGGGCCCUUGCUUGGAAGCCUUCCUAUGUCUUUACAAACGCUUCAGUUUAAGAAUGUAUCUCUGCGUAUAACGCAUUUAUAUACAACUUUCAGCAACGGAUCUCUUGGCUCUCGCAUCGAUGAAGAACGCAGCGAAAUGCGAUAAGUAAUGUGAAUUGCAGAAUUCAGUGAAUCAUCGAAUCUUUGAACGCACCUUGCGCUCCCUGGUAUUCCGGGGAGCAUGCCUGUUUGAGUGUCAUGGUAUCCUCAACCUUCAUAACUUUUUUGUUAUCGAAGGCUUGGACUUGGAGGUUGUGCUGGCUUCUCGUUGAGUCGGCUCCUCUGAAAUGCAUUAGCGUGAGUGUAACGGAUCGCUUCGGUGUGAUAAUUAUCUGCGCCGUAGUCGUGAAGUAACAUAAGCUUGCGCUUCUAACCGUCCUUCAGCUGGACAAUUACUUUGACAUCUGACCUCAAAUCAGGUAGGACUACCCGCUGAACUUAAGCAUAUCAAUAAGCGGAGGA
RNAcentral lists this ribosomal RNA (598 nucleotides) under uncultured fungus. Its description in RNAcentral is "eukaryotic LSU rRNA". The stretch from base 182 to 335 matches the Rfam family "5.8S ribosomal RNA". Lineage: Eukaryota; Fungi. The record is from RNAcentral.